UGCCAGCCCAUGGACUAGGGGUGAGGGUUCCCAAGAGGAAUGUUGGGUUUAUUUCCAGGAGCACUUUAUAGCAUGUCUAAGACAUGCAGCAGACCACACCUCAACUCCAGGGUGGGCUUCAUCUCAUAAACCCGAGUCAAUCUGGGGUGCUGGCACAGCCUUAGGCCCCCGUUGUUGGCAACUCUGGUGCACUCCUUGGGCACUAAGAGGUCUAAACUGGGUCAGAUGAAUGGUGAAGGGCCCUGUUCUCUUGAAUAAACAAAACCUUGUGGCAGAUGAUGAGCUGCAGCAUUAACAUUGUACCCAAUGUUAGGUGAGCAGAAUGCUGCCCUAAGAGGUUAAAUCCCUUGAUUUUCCCUGCACUGAUAGGUUAAAGCAGACCUAAGCUGCUUAGGACUUGCUCAUCAUCUACACUGAAUACUUUUAGCCUUGCACUGAGGUGGUCCCAGGAUCCCCAGUGUGUGGGAAGUGCUCAAAUACAUUUGGGAACCCUAUGACAGCACAGAAGCCACUGUGCCAUCCUCAGCUCUGCUGAAGACACACUGGUGGCAUUGUCUACCAGCUGUAGUAAGCAGUGUGCAGGCAAAGGGCGAGGAGCCUGCUCUUUACCACUCAGCUCUGACAGUGACAACCGUUCAGGACAAAGAAUAGGCUCGGUGGCUGUGGUGUAUCCAUGGCCAGGGCUCCUCAGAGCUGCAGCCGUGCAUGGAUGUGACCAGUGGAUGCUGCCCUUUAGAAGCAAAUUGCAGUUGGCAGCUGCUUUCAUUUCACCCCAUAGUAAAAACUGCUGCUCUGACGAGAACCAGUUUGUGCACAACGAGUAACCACAAGAUCUUUGUUUCCUCAUUCCCAGAAUCCAGGCGUAAAUCUGACUCAGAAGUUAUUAAUCUUUGCUGGAUGAAAAGGAGGAAUGCACCGUCCUGUGGAUACAGUGUCUGCUUAGACUGAAGAUCUGAGUAACUGGGUUUCUUCUGCCUUCAUUCUUCCCUCUACCACAAAGGAAGACCUCUUUGUUGAGGCCACGCUAGUUGUUGCAGAAAGAGAACUUGAAGUACAAGAACUUUACCAAAAGCUCAUCCCACUCAAGCUGAAGGCAAUGCCCUCAAUGGUUUGGUGUCAUGUGCGUUCAACCAGAAGUGUGCUCUGGACCUCUUGGCUGUAAAUGGUACAGGAUCACACCACGUUAUAAUCUCAAGCUCUAAUCAGCAGAAACCUUAGAAGCAAAGAAUGUCCGUGUUGUAUGUGCCUCCAAACACACAGAAAAGGAACCACAGGCAUCUCUAUAGCUUGUGAUUUGAAAGGUUAAAGGAGGUCACUUGAAAACCCAACUUACAAGCCAAAUGGUUCCAAUUAAGUGAGGCAGUUCCAGGACAUAAUCAAUAGCAAUGCCACAUUGACUUGACUACUCCUUACCUUGACCUUUAAAGUCCUUUAAAGUAAUUAGCAGUCAGUGUUUGGACUUUUAAAGACAUCAGUAGGACUACAAAAAGGACUGUGUGACCUAAACACGCUUGUUUUGGCUUUAAUGAAAGUAGGGGUAUAAAAAACAACAAAAAGAAUACUCAAUAUAAAGGCUUCUUGGUGGAAUUGUAGCAUCGGGAGGGUUGUGUCUGGUUUUCUCAGCCGGGAUCUGUAAAUGAAGAAAGAAGUGUGCUUUAGAACACCUUCAUCGACAAGAAAAACACCAACUGAACAAGAUGAGAUGUCAUGGCUUUCUCUGGAGCUUGGAAGUAGAGAACAAUCACUGAGUAAUUAUUUUGAUUGCCAGUUAUCUGCAUUAUUAUCCUGCUGUUCUGUUCUCAAUCCCUUCUGAACUCAGUUUUGCUGCCCAUCGGAGGAUACAACAGCUUCCCCAGCAUCCAAAAGAGAGUUAUUUAUUGACAUAGCCUUCAGAUUUAUAUGGUUUAAAUUACAGUAUGUUAAGGUGGAAAGUAUGGUCACCUCAUUGUACAUAAACAUCUUCUAAACAGUGUGGAAAUCACUGAAGUGCCCAGUGCCUCAGCAUCUUUGUUCUUAAAAUGGGAAUUUUGUAAUUGUUACUGUAAUGUUGUUAAGAUUUAACAUGUGCAAAACCUUUGCAAGUCACUGAUUGUGAAUCAUGCAAAACUGCCACGUCCUGCUUUCUUAGAUUACCAAGGUAAUUUAUUAUGAUAUUUAUUUGAUGGGCUUGUCAGAUCUCUAACAUUUGAAUUGUUAUUUAACCCUUAAAUAUUACCUGAGGAGUAAAUUUAGUCUGUUCAAAAAGAUAACUAGCAGAGGUAUUUCUUCUGGGGAAUGAGCUGCUGGCAUAAUGACCAUGGGGUGUAUGUGAAUUAUAA
Strigops habroptila (Kakapo) is the source of this 2318-nucleotide long non-coding RNA. The record is from Ensembl. NCBI's taxonomy places the organism in Eukaryota, Metazoa, Chordata, Aves, Psittaciformes, Psittacidae.